CCCGGCCGCAGGGUGUGCCCGGGCGCUCAGCCUCCGCCAGGGCCGCAGCCACCCUGUGCGUCAACGCCGCCCACGGCGGCGCAAAUUUCUGCAGGGCCCCGGGUCGUCCAGAGAAUCCCGAGCCGCGGGCGCCCGGCGAGGAAUGACACCCAGGAAAGGUGUCACGACGCCGGUUCAGCCCAGCCAAAGGCUGGGAGAGCUCAUGAGCAAUGAGAGGAGAAGCCAGGACCCACAUGUGUGACCAGCCAUCAGCAGAUGCAGGGACGACACGGAGGGGACAGAGACAGCCGCUCUGCCACGAGCCCCCCGUCUGCUGCUGGAACACGUCGAUGGUGUCUUCGUCCUCCAUCUCCAGCUGACCGGGUCACCGGGACCGGCGCGGUGAGAGAGGGGAAAGCGGUUAGUUUCCUCGCCAUCCCGGGAAUGCAAAAUGCCCACCCGAACGGAUACGCAGGUUCACUGCACAGUCUUCCUCCCCUCGGAGAGCACCGUCCCAACCGCACCUGUGCGCGGCGGCCUCUCCACGUGUGUGCCAUGCAGGGAAUGAUGCCCAGCUGUGGGUUUCCAAUGAGCCCUAUUCAUCCACCAAGCUCCCCCUCACAGCACUCACAAAAGCAGAGUCAAAGCUAAGGACUUUGAUAGAAAAACUAAGCCUCCGGGGGCGCCUGCCUGGCUCAGUCAGUAGAGAAUGGGCCUCGUGAUCUCAGGGUUAUAAGUUCAAGCCCCACGUUGCGUGUACUGAUUACUUUAAAAUUAAUAAAAUCUUUAAAAAGAAAACUAAG
This is a long non-coding RNA of Zalophus californianus (California sea lion), 782 nucleotides long. RefSeq lists it as uncharacterized. The record is from RefSeq and is a predicted model, not a curated record. NCBI's taxonomy places the organism in Eukaryota, Metazoa, Chordata, Mammalia, Carnivora, Otariidae. The transcript is spliced from 3 exons.